GGCGGCGUGCUUAACACAUGCAAGUCGAACGGUGAACCAGGGCUUGCCCUGGGAUCAGUGGCGAACGGGUGAGUAACACGUGGGCAACCUGCCCCUGACUCUGGGAUAACUCCUCGAAAGAGGUGCUAAUACCGGAUACGACCACUUCGGGCAUCCGAUGGUGGUGGAAAGAAUUUUGGUCAGGGAUGGGCCCGCGGCCUAUCAGCUUGUUGGUGGGGUAACGGCCCACCAAGGCGACGACGGGUAGCCGGCCUGAGAGGGCGACCGGCCACACUGGGACUGAGACACGGCCCAGACUCCUACGGGAGGCAGCAGUGGGGAAUAUUGCGCAAUGGGCGAAAGCCUGACGCAGCGACGCCGCGUGAGGGACGACGGCCUUCGGGUUGUAAACCUCUUUCAGCAGGGACGAAGCGAAAGUGACGGUACCUGCAGAAGAAGCACCGGCUAACUACGUG
This 455-nucleotide ribosomal RNA is filed under the name uncultured bacterium. RNAcentral's name for it is "bacterial SSU rRNA". It matches the Rfam family "Bacterial small subunit ribosomal RNA", at positions 38 to 507 of the family's 1533-position model. The record is from RNAcentral.